Molecule: ribosomal RNA, 3013 nt
Filed under: Salmonella enterica
Lineage: Bacteria; Pseudomonadati; Pseudomonadota; Gammaproteobacteria; Enterobacterales; Enterobacteriaceae
Description: bacterial LSU rRNA
Rfam family: Bacterial large subunit ribosomal RNA
Source: RNAcentral
GGGUUGUGAGGUUAAGCGACUAAGCGUACACGGUGGAUGCCCUGGCAGUCAGAGGCGAUGAAGGGCGUGCUAAUCUGCGAUAAGCGCCGGUAAGGUGAUAUGAACCGUUAUAACCGGCGAUACCCGAAUGGGGAAACCCAGUGUGACUCGUCACACUAUCAUUAACUGAAUCCAUAGGUUAAUGAGGCGAACCGGGGGAACUGAAACAUCUAAGUACCCCGAGGAAAAGAAAUCAACCGAGAUUCCCCCAGUAGCGGCGAGCGAACGGGGAGGAGCCCAGAGCCUGAAUCAGCAUGUGUGUUAGUGGAAGCGUCUGGAAAGGCGCGCGAUACAGGGUGACAGCCCCGUACACAAAAGCGCAUGUGCUGUGAGCUCGAUGAGUAGGGCGGGACACGUGGUAUCCUGUCUGAAUAUGGGGGGACCAUCCUCCAAGGCUAAAUACUCCUGACUGACCGAUAGUGAACCAGUACCGUGAGGGAAAGGCGAAAAGAACCCCGGCGAGGGGAGUGAAAAAGAACCUGAAACCGUGUACGUACAAGCAGUGGGAGCACAGGUUUACCUGUGUGACUGCGUACCUUUUGUAUAAUGGGUCAGCGACUUAUAUUCUGUAGCAAGGUUAACCGAAUAGGGGAGCCGGAGGGAAACCGAGUCUUAAUUGGGCGUUAAGUUGCAGGGUAUAGACCCGAAACCCGGUGAUCUAGCCAUGGGCAGGUUGAAGGUUGGGUAACACUAACUGGAGGACCGAACCGACUAAUGUUGAAAAAUUAGCGGAUGACCUGUGGCUGGGGGUGAAAGGCCAAUCAAACCGGGAGAUAGCUGGUUCUCCCCGAAAGCUAUUUAGGUAGCGCCUCGUGAAUUCAUCUCCGGGGGUAGAGCACUGUUUCGGCUAGGGGGCCAUCCCGGCUUACCAACCCGAUGCAAACUGCGAAUACCGGAGAAUGUUAUCACGGGAGACACACGGCGGGUGCUAACGUCCGUCGUGAAGAGGGAAACAACCCAGACCGCCAGCUAAGGUCCCAAAGUCAUGGUUAAGUGGGAAACGAUGUGGGAAGGCCCAGACAGCCAGGAUGUUGGCUUAGAAGCAGCCAUCAUUUAAAGAAAGCGUAAUAGCUCACUGGUCGAGUCGGCCUGCGCGGAAGAUGUAACGGGGCUAAACCAUGCACCGAAGCUGCGGCAGCGAACGUAUCACCCAAGACAACUUUACGGAGUUGACGAUUGACGGAGCGAAGCGACGUCAAAGCGUUCAUUAAAGUCGAGUUGGCUUAGGGAUACGUUCGUUGGGUAGGGGAGCGUUCUGUAAGCCUGUGAAGGUGGCCUGUGAGGGUUGCUGGAGGUAUCAGAAGUGCGAAUGCUGACAUAAGUAACGAUAAAGCGGGUGAAAAGCCCGCUCGCCGGAAGACCAAGGGUUCCUGUCCAACGUUAAUCGGGGCAGGGUGAGUCGACCCCUAAGGCGAGGCCGAAAGGCGUAGUCGAUGGGAAACAGGUUAAUAUUCCUGUACUUGGUGUUACUGCGAAGGGGGGACGGAGAAGGCUAUGUUGGCCGGGCGACGGUUGUCCCGGUUUAAGCGUGUAGGUGUGUGUUCCAGGUAAAUCCGGUUCACUUUAACACUGAGGCGUGAUGACGAGGCACUACGGUGCUGAAGCAACAAAUGCCCUGCUUCCAGGAAAAGCCUCUAAGCAUCAGGUAACAUCAAAUCGUACCCCAAACCGACACAGGUGGUCAGGUAGAGAAUACCAAGGCGCUUGAGAGAACUCGGGUGAAGGAACUAGGCAAAAUGGUGCCGUAACUUCGGGAGAAGGCACGCUGACACGUAGGUGAAGUGAUUUACUCACGGAGCUGAAGUCAGUCGAAGAUACCAGCUGGCUGCAACUGUUUAUUAAAAACACAGCACUGUGCAAACACGAAAGUGGACGUAUACGGUGUGACGCCUGCCCGGUGCCGGAAGGUUAAUUGAUGGGGUCAGCGCAAGCGAAGCUCCUGAUCGAAGCCCCGGUAAACGGCGGCCGUAACUAUAACGGUCCUAAGGUAGCGAAAUUCCUUGUCGGGUAAGUUCCGACCUGCACGAAUGGCGUAAUGAUGGCCAGGCUGUCUCCACCCGAGACUCAGUGAAAUUGAACUCGCUGUGAAGAUGCAGUGUACCCGCGGCAAGACGGAAAGACCCCGUGAACCUUUACUAUAGCUUGACACUGAACAUUGAGCCUUGAUGUGUAGGAUAGGUGGGAGGCUUUGAAGCGUGGACGCCAGUCUGCGUGGAGCCGACCUUGAAAUACCACCCUUUAAUGUUUGAUGUUCUAACGUGGACCCGUUAUCCGGGUUGCGGACAGUGUCUGGUGGGUAGUUUGACUGGGGCGGUCUCCUCCUAAAGAGUAACGGAGGAGCACGAAGGUUGGCUAAUCCUGGUCGGACAUCAGGAGGUUAGUGCAAUGGCAUAAGCCAGCUUGACUGCGAGCGUGACGGCGCGAGCAGGUGCGAAAGCAGGUCAUAGUGAUCCGGUGGUUCUGAAUGGAAGGGCCAUCGCUCAACGGAUAAAAGGUACUCCGGGGAUAACAGGCUGAUACCGCCCAAGAGUUCAUAUCGACGGCGGUGUUUGGCACCUCGAUGUCGGCUCAUCACAUCCUGGGGCUGAAGUAGGUCCCAAGGGUAUGGCUGUUCGCCAUUUAAAGUGGUACGCGAGCUGGGUUUAGAACGUCGUGAGACAGUUCGGUCCCUAUCUGCCGUGGGCGCUGGAGAACUGAGGGGGGCUGCUCCUAGUACGAGAGGACCGGAGUGGACGCAUCACUGGUGUUCGGGUUGUCAUGCCAAUGGCACUGCCCGGUAGCUAAAUGCGGAAGAGAUAAGUGCUGAAAGCAUCUAAGCACGAAACUUGCCCCGAGAUGAGUUCUCCCUGAGACUUUAGGUCUCCUGAAGGAACGUUGAAGACGACGACGUUGAUAGGCCGGGUGUGUAAGCGCAGCGAUGCGUUGAGCUAACCGGUACUAAUGAACCGUGAGGCUUAACCUUACAACGCCGAAG